This 480-nucleotide ribosomal RNA is filed under the name uncultured bacterium. Its description in RNAcentral is "bacterial SSU rRNA". It matches the Rfam family "Bacterial small subunit ribosomal RNA", at positions 32 to 524 of the family's 1533-position model. The record is from RNAcentral.
AAUCAACGCUGGCGGCGUGCCUAACACAUGCAAGUCGAACGAGAAAGUGGAGCAAUCCAUGAGUAAAGUGGCGACCGGGUGAGUAACACGUGACUAACCUACCCUUGAAUGGGGAAUAACCUUCCGAAAGGAGGGCUAAUACCGCAUAAAGUCCUAAGGAUGAAACGCCUAAGGACCAAAGGAGCAAUUCGUUUAAGGAGGGGGUCGCGGUUGAUUAGCUAGUUGGUGGGGUAAUGGCCCACCAAGGCGANGAUCAAUAGCCGGCCUGAGAGGGCGCACGGCCACACUGGAACUGAAACACGGUCCAGACUCCUACGGGAGGCAGCAGUGGGGAAUUUUGCGCAAUGGGGGAAACCCUGACGCAGCAACGCCGCGUGAAGGAUGAAGGUCUUUGGAUUGUAAACUUCUUUCGAUCGGGAAGAUAAUGACGGUACCGAGAGAAGAAGCCCCGGCUAACUUCGUGCCAGCAGCCGCAGUAAU